ACACCCGGUUCCAUCUCGAACCCGGAAGUUAAGCCUAUCAGCGCCGAUGGUAGUGUGCGGGCAACUGCAUGUGAGAGUAGGCCAUUGCCAACA
RNAcentral lists this ribosomal RNA (93 nucleotides) under Caldilineaceae bacterium. The record is from RNAcentral. Lineage: Bacteria; Bacillati; Chloroflexota; Caldilineae; Caldilineales; Caldilineaceae.